GGACUACAGGGGUAUCUAAUCCUGUUUGCUACCCACGCUUUCGCGCCUCAGCGUCAGUUGAUGCCCAGUGGACCGCCUUCGCCACGGGUAUUCCUCCCGAUAUCAACGCAUUUCACCGCUACACCGGGAAUUCUAUCCACCUCUGCAUCACUCCAGCUCGCCAGUAUGAAAAGCGGUUUGUGGGUUGAGCCCACAGCUUUCACUUCUCACUUAACGAGCCGCCUACGCGCUCUUUACGCCCAGUAAAUCCGGACAACGCUUGCACCCUACGUCUUACCGCGGCUGCUGGCAC
This 292-nucleotide ribosomal RNA is filed under the name uncultured bacterium. RNAcentral's name for it is "partial 16S ribosomal RNA". The record is from RNAcentral.